Long non-coding RNA from Odontomachus brunneus, 1910 nucleotides. RefSeq lists it as uncharacterized. The transcript has 3 exons. Lineage: Eukaryota; Metazoa; Arthropoda; Insecta; Hymenoptera; Formicidae. The record is from RefSeq and is a predicted model, not a curated record.
AAAAAAAAAAAAAAAGAUGAGUUUCACAAGGAACAUAUUGCUAAGCAGCGACUUCUGGCCUGUGUGAUUCGCGAAUGGAUCGAAAGUAUUUUAUAACUGUGUAAAAAGGGAAACGGCAAAAUGUGCACUAAACGCGACCACCGUGGCUUAUCGUAUAUUCGGCCGCUUUUUGAGAGAUCGGGCUAAACGGCAGUCGCCAAGUAAAAAGUUCCAUUGCAGAGAAAAACAAGGGAAAAAGAGCUAUCUCGCAUCGCCCAUACGAAGAGAAGAAGUACGUUGUAUACAUAGCUACCUAUACCUAAGAAUAACGUAUUGUGACUGGGAUUUUCAGAUUAUUUUUAUUCGCUAUAGAGAGCUUCGAUAUAUAAUACACAUAUAUCGAGUUGAAAACGUUUGCGUUGGUGUAACAAGCGCGAAACGGUGUGACGAGCGACGAACGUCGUUUUUGCACGUCGCGUCCUCCCAUCGCCGGAAUGACGAAACCGUCGACCACUUAUUCUUUAAGUUCGCUAAACAACAUAUCUCGAAAGAGAGGGAGAGAGAGAGAGAAAGAGAGAGCGAGAAGAAAAGAAAGAAAGAAGGGAAGGAAUCGAUGGUAUCGGACGAGCGUGUACGUUCCAAGAUAGAUCGCGCGGCUGUGCGCGAUUAUUUUGGGGGCGCGUGAAACGGUAUCGCUCGUCGAGAGGAUAAAUGGGAAAAAAGGUAUCGAAUUAAUAACAUACAUAUACAAAUAUCUCUACGACAAGUACUAUAUACUAAACACGUGUAAAGUUAAGAGUUAAUAAAAUCAUUUUAGGGUACUCUGCGCCCUAGGGUUGAUCCUUACGCUUAUUCUCCGUGUCGUUCACGUCUCUCACCGUCGUCUACGAAACUCGCAAGCGAGCCACGAGUUCGUAUACAUGAUUUCGCAUCGAACGUUUGCGCAAGCAAAUUAUAGUCACGCGAUUGGUACUUAAUUCCGUCGAAUCACGCGUUGAUAUUACGCAUGAGUUUGCCUGCUAUUCGAUAUUAUUCUUCCCAACAUUUUUCGAGACGCAUUUUUCCCGGCAAUAUUUCUUUUUGCGACAAUCGCCGAGUGACAUGUGUCUUAUGUACUCUUACAUUUCAUAUUUACAGUUGCGGCGUUCUCACAUUUGACAUCUCUCGAGAAAUCUCGUUAGAGCUUAUGUGAUAUUCAUCCGAUUAAAAGGAGCUCACACACGCGCACCCGAGUGACGCCGUGUUCUGCAGAUUAUAUCGCGUGGGACGUUAAACGUGACGUAACCAAAUACUCCAAUUCUUCUGUUAUGUAAGAUUUUCAAGACCGCGCGAUGCACAAUACGAUUUUCCAUUCGUCCCACGGCGAGGCAAUCGUAAGGAGAGAUAACAGCAACAAAUCUGGGAUUCCAAACGACAUUUUGAUCAUUCUCUCGAUAAAUAACAAUCGUCCCACUAUAUAUGUUUCCGUGUGAAAAACUAGAAUCGCGUCUCGUGACGAUCCCUUGCGUCUGACCGGAAGAAGUUAUUCACGAUGCAGCGCGAUUCAAGGAUUGAUCGCAGCGAGAAGAUAAACGAAUGCUGCCUCGUGGAUGCAUCUCGACGUUGCGAGAUGAAAAGAGACUUAUUAGCGUCUCAGCGCGGGAUUUGGCGGAAUAUUUAAUAUUUAUUGCAACAGAUUCUCUUUUAUCACCGUAAAGACGAAAUUAUGACGCUGCGGCAUGUAACACGUUUUGUGACGUAUUUGAUCGCCCAGGUGGUGUUAUCUCGGCCGGCGAGGGACAGGCACGUGCUUCUGCGACGAUUUGAUCACUCAUUACGAAACAUAGAGAUGGAUGCUUCUCGUUUUCGUUUGGUGAAAGCUAUCUUAUCUUAACGUUUGUUUAGCAACCAUUAGCUAAACGCUUACUCAGUAUUGUCAACCGUUGAACCAA